GACAGAGGGUGCAAACGUUGUUCGGAUUUACUGGGCGUAAAGCGCGUGUAGGCGGCUUUGCAAGUCGGAUGUGAAAGCCCACGGCUCAACCGUGGAGGUGCAUCCGAAACUGCAUGGCUUGAGUCUCGGAGAGGAAGGUGGAAUGCUUGGUGUAGAGGUGAAAUUCGUAGAUAUCAAGCAGAACACCUGCGGCGAAGGCGGCCUUCUGGACGAUGACUGACGCUGAGACGCGAAAGCGUGGGGAGCAAACAGG
RNAcentral lists this ribosomal RNA (253 nucleotides) under uncultured bacterium. RNAcentral's name for it is "partial 16S ribosomal RNA". It matches the Rfam family "Bacterial small subunit ribosomal RNA", at positions 524 to 776 of the family's 1533-position model. The record is from RNAcentral.